UUCUUUCUCUCUGUACUGUUUAUAUUUUAACUCUGUAAAUGUAUCUUCAGAAAGAAAAGGAAAGAAAGAAAGAAAUGAAGGGAGGAAGGGAGGAAGGGAGGAAGGAAGGGAGGAAGGGAGGAAGGGAGGAAGGGAGGAAGGGAGGAAGGAAGGAAGGAAGGAAGGAAGGAAGGAAGGAAGGAAGGAAGGAAGGAAGGAAGGAAGGAAGGAAGGAAGGAAGGAAGGGAAAGAAAAAAAACAAAGAAAAAAAGAAAGAAAAAACAUGGAAAGCACUUCAGGUGACAUCUUCCAUGGAGGACCCCUGUUCUUCAAGAUAGGAGAGAAUACUUCUUGAUCCACUAUAUAUGACAGAAUGGCCACAAACAACUGUAAUACAAUACAUCUUCUGUACAACAGGCUCCCCACUUUAGGUACUGAAAGGCCACUCAAGUCUUCCCAGAACCUCUCUUCUCCAGGCUGAACAGCUCCGAUAAUAAUUGAACUGUGAAGGUUUUCAGAUGUAUUCAAGCUAUCUACAAGCUAUCAACACUGACUAUCUACAGCCUCACAAAGUGCAAACCCAGAUUCUCUAUGACAAGAACCUGCAAAAUGCUGAGCAAACUCACUUCCGCACAAUGCCCUUGGGAUCUGAAGACAAUCAGAGUUUAAUCCUGCAGGAACUGUAGUCAAGAGCAGUAAGACAAGGCAUUCAACACCUUCCAGCAGGUGUUCAGCUUCAGUGCUGCUGCUCUCUGUGCACUACUUUUGUUUAUAACAAACCCUGUCCUGCUCAAAAAAUAAACCUUUGCUAAAUGUAUCCGAUCCUUUCACAGCUCCUAGCAUUGAUUUUGUUUUCAAUGUGAUGCUGGGGCAAAUUGUCAAAGUGUUUUCAACCCAGGACUACAGGGUAAAGGCAGACUUUCCCUCAUGAUGGUUGCUCACAUUUACUCCAGGAUGGGAUCAGAAACUCUGUUGUUUGUGACCCCAUGACACCAUCAAUGUAAUAUUCAAAAACAGAAUGAGAGA
RNAcentral lists this long non-coding RNA (1005 nucleotides) under Gallus gallus (chicken). Its description in RNAcentral is "lncRNA (ENSGALG00010009409.1)". Lineage: Eukaryota; Metazoa; Chordata; Aves; Galliformes; Phasianidae. The record is from RNAcentral.